RNAcentral lists this ribosomal RNA (521 nucleotides) under uncultured bacterium. RNAcentral describes it as "bacterial SSU rRNA". It matches the Rfam family "Bacterial small subunit ribosomal RNA", at positions 335 to 873 of the family's 1533-position model. The record is from RNAcentral.
ACUCCUACGGGAGGCAGCAGUGGGGAAUAUUGGACAAUGGGCGAAAGCCUGAUCCAGCAAUGCCGCGUGAGUGAUGAAGGCCUUAGGGUUGUAAAGCUCUUUUACCCGGGAUGAUAAUGACAGUACCGGGAGAAUAAGCUCCGGCUAACUCCGUGCCAGCAGCCGCGGUAAUACGGAGGGAGCUAGCGUUGUUCGGAAUUACUGGGCGUAAAGCGCGCGUAGGCGGCUUUGUAAGUUAGAGGUGAAAGCCCGGGGCUCAACCCCGGAACUGCCUUUAAGACUGCAUCGCUUGAAUCCAGGAGAGGUGAGUGGAAUUCCGAGUGUAGAGGUGAAAUUCGUAGAUAUUCGGAAGAACACCAGUGGCGAAGGCGGCUCACUGGACUGGUAUUGACGCUGAGGUGCGAAAGUGUGGGGAGCAAACAGGAUUAGAUACCCUGGUAGUCCACGCCGUAAACGAUGAUAACUAGCUGUCAGGGCCCAUAGGGUUUUGGUGGCGCAGCUAACGCAUUAAGUUAUCCGCC